This 450-nucleotide ribosomal RNA is filed under the name uncultured bacterium. RNAcentral describes it as "partial 16S ribosomal RNA". It matches the Rfam family "Bacterial small subunit ribosomal RNA", at positions 354 to 796 of the family's 1533-position model. The record is from RNAcentral.
GUGGGGAAUAUUGGACAAUGGGCGAAAGCCUGAUCCAGCAAUGCCGCGUGCAGGAAGAAGGCCUUCGGGUUGUAAACUGCUUUUGUACGGAACGAAACGGUCCGGGUUAAUACCCUGGGCUAAUGACGGUACCGUAAGAAUAAGCACCGGCUAACUACGUGCCAGCAGCCGCGGUAAUACGUAGGGUGCAAGCGUUAAUCGGAAUUACUGGGCGUAAAGCGUGCGCAGGCGGUUUUGUAAGACAGGCGUGAAAUCCCCGGGCUUAACCUGGGAAUUGCGCUUGUGACUGCAGUGCUGGAGUGCGGCAGAGGGGGAUGGAAUUCCGCGUGUAGCAGUGAAAUGCGUAGAUAUGCGGAGGAACACCGAUGGCGAAGGCAAUCCCCUGGGCCUGCACUGACGCUCAUGCACGAAAGCGUGGGGAGCAAACAGGAUUAGAUACCCUGGUAGUCC